ACCUUCAUGGUGUUGUGGUCAGCACACUCGACCCUUAUUCGAGAGGUCCGUGGUUCGAGCCCCGGCGAGGGCA
Molecule: transfer RNA, 73 nt
Filed under: Stegodyphus mimosarum
Lineage: Eukaryota; Metazoa; Arthropoda; Arachnida; Araneae; Eresidae
Rfam family: tRNA
About the family: Transfer RNA (tRNA) molecules are approximately 80 nucleotides in length. Their secondary structure includes four short double-helical elements and three loops (D, anti-codon, and T loops).
Source: Rfam by way of RNAcentral